CAAGGAAUAGUUUAAGUAGAAUUUCAGCUUUGGGUGUUGAUGGUGGAGCUAGAGCUUCUUCCUUGAUAGUCCUUGGGAGGAACGUUU
Molecule: transfer RNA, 87 nt
Filed under: Equus caballus (horse)
Lineage: Eukaryota; Metazoa; Chordata; Mammalia; Perissodactyla; Equidae
Description: transfer RNA-Pro
Source: RNAcentral